CUGGGUGUGGCGCAGUUUGGUAGCGCGCAUGAAUGGGGUUCAUGAGGCCGUUGGUUCAAGUCCAAUCACCCAGACCA
RNAcentral lists this transfer RNA (77 nucleotides) under Clostridiales bacterium. RNAcentral's name for it is "tRNA-Pro". It matches the Rfam family "tRNA". From Rfam's summary of the family: Transfer RNA (tRNA) molecules are approximately 80 nucleotides in length. Their secondary structure includes four short double-helical elements and three loops (D, anti-codon, and T loops). Lineage: Bacteria; Bacillati; Bacillota; Clostridia; Eubacteriales. The record is from RNAcentral.